CAUUUUUUUGAUAAUUUUGAUAAAUUAUAAAAUUUAUGAAAUAUUUAAAAUGUUAAAUACAUUUUUAUUAAAUUAAAAUUAUUAAUUAUAAAACAAUAUUAAAUAUAUUUUAAUUUUUUUAAAAUUAUUUUGAAAUUAUAUAAGUUAAAAUUUUAUAUUUUUUAAUUUAGAAAUUGAAACAAUAAAAAUGU
RNAcentral lists this transfer RNA (191 nucleotides) under Pneumocystis jirovecii. RNAcentral describes it as "tRNA-Pseudo(TAT)". The record is from RNAcentral. Lineage: Eukaryota; Fungi; Ascomycota; Pneumocystomycetes; Pneumocystales; Pneumocystaceae.